RNAcentral lists this ribosomal RNA (465 nucleotides) under uncultured bacterium. RNAcentral's name for it is "bacterial SSU rRNA". It matches the Rfam family "Bacterial small subunit ribosomal RNA", at positions 338 to 795 of the family's 1533-position model. The record is from RNAcentral.
CCUACGGGCUGCAGCAGUGGGGAAUAUUGCACAAUGUGCGCAAGCCUGAUGCAGCCAUGCCGCGUGUAUGAAGAAGGCCUUCGGGUUGUAAAGUACUUUCAGCGGGGAGGAAGGCGAUAAGGUUAGUAACCUUGUCGAUUGACGUUACCCGCAGAAGAAGCACCGGCUAACUCCGUGCCAGCAGCCGCGGUAAUACGGAGGGUGCAGGCGUUAAUCGGAAUUACUGGGCGUAGAGCGCACGCAGGCGGUCUGUCAAGUCGGAUGUGAAAUCCCCGGGCUCAACCUGGGAACUGCAUUCGAAACUGGCAGGCUAGAGUCUUGUAGAGGGGGGUAGAAUUCCAGGUGUAGCGGUGAAAUGCGUAGAGAUCUGGAGGAAUACCGGUGGCGAAGGCGGCCCCCUGGACAAAGACUGACGCUCAGGUGCGAAAGCGUGGGGAGCAAACAGGAUUAGAUACCCCAGUAGUC